AGUCACUGACAUUAGAUACCCCCUGUAGUCCAGGGUGUAAACGCUGCAGACUUGGUGUUGGAAGUCCUUUGGGGGCAUUCAGUGCCGGAGAGAAGUUGUUAAGUCUGCUACUUGGGGAGUACGUCCGCAAGGAUGAAACUUAAAGGAAUUGGCGGGGGAGCACCACAACGGGAGGAGCGUGCGGUUUAAUUGGAUUCAACACCGUAAAACUCACCAGGGAAGACUGUUACAUGAAAGCCGAGAUGAAGACUCUGCUAGAUUUUCAG
This 266-nucleotide ribosomal RNA is filed under the name uncultured archaeon. Its description in RNAcentral is "partial 16S ribosomal RNA". It matches the Rfam family "Archaeal small subunit ribosomal RNA", at positions 718 to 982 of the family's 1478-position model. The record is from RNAcentral.